Molecule: long non-coding RNA, 546 nt
Organism: Astatotilapia calliptera (eastern happy)
Lineage: Eukaryota; Metazoa; Chordata; Actinopteri; Cichliformes; Cichlidae
Source: Ensembl
CAGAGUCAGCUAUCCUUCUAUGCUGGUACCAUGUCUUGCAGGCUGUUAAUCGAUGGCUUUCAAAAUCAGAGUCCGGGGUCCAUGGGCUUUCUAACACCCAAAAGAGAAAUGAAAUCAUUUCUUUCUUUUGUAAGCUGAAAGCUUGCACAUCUUAUUUUCAGAAGCACUGGGAAGGCAUUGGCCACAUGUGGUGUGACUACGGCCGUCGGUUCAGUCACGCUCGUUCUGAAACAAACAAUGUGAUUGAAAGAUUUUUCCACCGCCUGAAAUACCAGUUUUUAUCUGGCUACAAGAAUAGGCGUCUGGAUGAUCUGAUUGAAGUGCUCCUAGGGAAGGCCGACGACUACUUCUCAGUCAUAAAAACCCUGCAAGAUGUGGGCCGCAUGAAAAACAGGUUUGCUGACACCUUGUCUCAAGUUUCAGACUCUGCUUCAAGACUGAUGGAAAGUGGUUGGGCUCUUAAAAUUACAGUCAAGAACAGCCAUGGAGUUAAUGCAUAUCAAGUCCCAUCUGAGUCAAGAGAAGACAUGGUGUAUGAUGUCUGCC